This 72-nucleotide transfer RNA is filed under the name Troglophilus neglectus. Its description in RNAcentral is "tRNA-Val". The record is from RNAcentral. Lineage: Eukaryota; Metazoa; Arthropoda; Insecta; Orthoptera; Rhaphidophoridae.
CAAAAUAAAGCUUUAAAGUAAGGCAUCUCAUUUACAUUGGGAAUAGAUUUCGUGCAAUUCGAAUUAUUUUGA